Non-coding RNA from Schistosoma curassoni, 48 nucleotides. Lineage: Eukaryota; Metazoa; Platyhelminthes; Trematoda; Strigeidida; Schistosomatidae. The record is from Rfam.
AUCCAGCUGAAGAGUCCCAAAUAGGACGGAACGCGCGUCAAACUGGAU